GAACUUGAUUAGAAAAGCAAACCAGUCUCCGCACGGUAACCCUGAAUCAAGUGUGAGGAACACUCUGUAGCCAAUAACAUAGGCUCAGGCGAGGAUCUCAGUGAAGUAGUAAUUAUUCGUGAUUGCAAUGGCGGGCGACCCACAAGCAGGAGCGCACCUACUACUUCCAUAACACAGUUUAUAUACUUUUUUUUCUCGAGGACCGGGACCCUCCCCUGUUUCCCCAUUGACUGGGUAAUCCAGGUUCACAAUCUAUCCGGUGCUUCACAGACAAUACAUGGCUUUCAGUUGCCGGCCUAUUAUCUUUCAAAUUUCUUUUGACUUUUACAGUCUUUGAGGUGGUAAUGUUUCUUACACAGUGAUUUCUGCCUAAUUGCUCUAAGGAUUCUGGUUGUCUGCAUUUUACAAGGUUGUCUGUUAAGCUUUCUUAUCACUGCAAGCAUAUCUCAAUACCACAUUCCUUCCCUCUAAACAAUGGAACUCUGUGCAAAAACAACAUUUUUAUUCCCACAAUUCCCCCCUUUUCUUCUUUAUAAAUUGUUGAUUUUUGCAGAACUUUUCUCUAAGGUGUAAUUUGGUAGAUAUCUUCCUCUUCUUCACUUUCUUUGCUUUCCAUCUCCUCUAAUAUCAUCAUCUUAUCUGAGUAGGGUGGUGGAUCCAUGGUCAUUUGUUUCAAUAGUGCAGUUUCAAUUAACCGUUGGACAAGUCCCCUUACACAGGGGAUAAUGCAACAACCAAUGGCUGUCAAAACUCCUGCUACUACGAUCAAGGAUGUAAAUAUGGACAUUACCAUCCCUUUCCAUUUACCAAAGAAAGAUUCCAACCAUCCUGUAAUGGAAGUGUCUGCUCCUGAGUUUUCUGCCAAUUCAUUGGCAAGGGUGGUAAACCCUUGCAAUGCUCUAGUUACUGUGCCAUCCAGGGCAGUAUUGUUGGGUAUAGAAGUACAGCAGUGGUUGCACAGCACCACACACAAACUGCCUUUCUCCGCGAGCGUCAUAUCUAAUGCUAUUCUGUUUUCCCAAGCCAUUUUGCUGGUGGCACCUAGUUGUUCAGCAGUUCCUCUUAUCACAUUCCUUGAAUAAUUUAUGAAUCUCUGCUG
This 1099-nucleotide long non-coding RNA is filed under the name Anser cygnoides (Swan goose). RNAcentral's name for it is "lncRNA (ENSACDG00005014896.1)". The record is from RNAcentral. Lineage: Eukaryota; Metazoa; Chordata; Aves; Anseriformes; Anatidae.